UCACCCCUCAAGCCCGGCUUGUUGUUGGAUGCGGCGGUGGCCUCUUCUGCGCCCCGCCCGUCUCAAAGAUAAUGACGGCGUCUGUGAGGACUCCUGUACACUGAGCUUUCGGGCACGUACUAGGCAGCACUCCAGGCCCGGUCUUCGUCGAAUCCCUUCUCGGGUGCCGACAAACUUUUACCAA
This 184-nucleotide unclassified non-coding RNA is filed under the name uncultured Chaetothyriales. RNAcentral describes it as "sequence contains ITS2". Lineage: Eukaryota; Fungi; Ascomycota; Eurotiomycetes; Chaetothyriales. The record is from RNAcentral.